AUCGAUGAAGAACGCAGCGAAAUGCGAUAAGUAAUGUGAAUUGCAGAAUUCAGUGAAUCAUCGAAUCUUUGAACGCACCUUGCGCUUCUUGGUAUUCCGAGGAGCAUGCCUGUUUGAGUGUCAUUAAUAUAUCAAUCUUCUCUUGUUGAGUGGUUUGGAUGUGGGGGUUUGCUGGCCUCUGAAAAGAGGUUCAGCUCCUCUGAAAAACAUUAGCAGAGCGACUCUGUUCAUUAGUGUGAUAACUAUCUAUGCUAUUGAAUGUGUGUGGUUCAGCUUUCUAACCGUCCUUGGACAAAUUUAUCAUUUAUGUGACCUCAAAUCAGGUAGGACUACCCGCUGAACUUAAGCAUAUCAAUAAGCGGAGGAAAAGAAACUAACAAGGAUUCCCCUAGUAACUGCGAGUGAAGCGGGAAAAGCUCAAAUUUAAAAUCUGGCAGUUUCUUGUAGCUGUCCGAGUUGUAAUCUAGAGAAGUGUUAUCCGCGCUGGACCGUGUACAAGUCUCCUGGAAUGGAGCAUCAUAGAGGGUGAGAAUCCCGUCUUUGACAUGGGCUGCCAGGGCUUUGUGAUGCGCUCUCAAAGAGUCGAGUUGUUUGGGUAUGCAGCUCAAAAUGGGUGGUAAAUUCCAUCUAAAGCUAAAUAUUGGCGAGAGACCGAUAGCGAACAAGUACCGUGAGGGAAAGAUGAAAAGAACUUUGGAAAGAGAGUUAAACAGUACGUGAAAUUGCUGAAAGGGAAACGCUUGAAGUCAGUCGCGUUGUCCAGGGAUCAACCUUGCUUUGCUUGGUGCACUUUCUGGUUCAAUGGGUCAGCAUCAAUUUUGACCGUUGGAAAAAGGUCAGGGGAAUGUGGCAUCUUAGGAUGUGUUAUAGCCCUUGGUCACAUACAAUGGUUGGGAUUGAGGAACUCAGCACGCCGCAAGGCCGGGUUUUAAACCACGUACGUGCUUAGGAUGCUGGCAAUAUGGCUUUAAUCGACCCGUCUUGAAACACGG
This 992-nucleotide ribosomal RNA is filed under the name uncultured Basidiomycota. RNAcentral's name for it is "eukaryotic LSU rRNA". The stretch from base 310 to 992 matches the Rfam family "Eukaryotic large subunit ribosomal RNA", at positions 1 to 664 of the family's 3401-position model. The record is from RNAcentral. Lineage: Eukaryota; Fungi; Basidiomycota.